RNAcentral lists this long non-coding RNA (223 nucleotides) under Mytilus galloprovincialis (Mediterranean mussel). Lineage: Eukaryota; Metazoa; Mollusca; Bivalvia; Mytilida; Mytilidae. The record is from RNAcentral.
UGUAAGUGUCAAAUAGAUUUCACAAAGAAGGAAAUAAGACUUUUGAUAAAUAAUAGAUAAAGUCACAGCUUUACAUAGUCUUUAGAUUUCUCUUAUGUAAAGAACAAUUAAUCUUAAGAGUCUUUUCAAUUAGCGCUUAUUCAGCCUAAAACCCAAGCGAUAAAUAUUUAUGAUGUAAUGAGGCAUGAGGACCGUCAAGGGGUCUCAAUCAGUUAAUGCUUUG